UCUCGCAGCCAGGAAGGUCCUGGGAGAGGCGCGAGUCAGGCCUGGUCGGCGCUCGCGGAGAAAAGAACCAGUCAAGCCCAUGAACUACAACCACCGUUGCCGCUUUCGCCUCUCCUAACCGUUAAGUGCUCUAAGGGCCAUGGCUGAGGUGCACGUGAUCGGGCAGAUCAUGGGGGCCAGCGGUUUCUCGGAAAGUAGCCUCUUCUGCAAGUGGGGCAUUCACACAGGGAGUUGCUGGGGGUGUUGAUCCAGCCAAGAAUACUGAGGCAGUUGGAUGAAAGGCUUGGGCUCUGCAGUUAGAGCUGAGUCUGAAUUCAGUCCCAUGAUGGGACCUUGGUCUGCUAUAGUCACUGCUAUAUCACCAGGAUGGAAAACAGUGCUUGGCACAUAGCAGGUGCUGAAUAAAUGUUCAUGAACUCAC
Molecule: small RNA, 421 nt
Filed under: Pongo abelii (Sumatran orangutan)
Lineage: Eukaryota; Metazoa; Chordata; Mammalia; Primates; Hominidae
Description: processed transcript
Source: RNAcentral